Molecule: ribosomal RNA, 482 nt
Filed under: uncultured bacterium
Lineage: Bacteria
Description: bacterial SSU rRNA
Rfam family: Bacterial small subunit ribosomal RNA
Source: RNAcentral
AUUGAACGCUGGCGGAAUGCUUUACACAUGCAAGUCGAGCGGCAGCGCGGGGCAACCUGGCGGCGAGCGGCGAACGGGUGAGUAACACAUCGGAACGUGCCCAGACGUGGGGGAUAGCCCGGCGAAAGCCGGAUUAAUACCGCAUGUGAUCUGAGGAUGAAAGUGGGGGACCGCAAGGCCUCACGCGUUUGGAGCGGCCGAUGGCAGAUUAGGUAGUUGGUGGGGUAAAGGCUUACCAAGCCUGCGAUCUGUAGCUGGUCUGAGAGGAUGAUCAGCCACACUGGGACUGAGACACGGCCCAGACUCCUACGGGAGGCAGCAGUGGGGAAUUUUGGACAAUGGGCGCAAGCCUGAUCCAGCCAUUCCGCGUGCAGGACGAAGGCCUUCGGGUUGUAAACUGCUUUUGUACGGAACGAAAGGGCUCUCUCUAAUACAGGGGGCAUAUGACGGUACCGUAAGAAUAAGCACCGGCUAACUACGUG